RNAcentral lists this non-coding RNA (99 nucleotides) under Rubrivivax gelatinosus. Its description in RNAcentral is "Glycine sequence". It matches the Rfam family "Glycine riboswitch aptamer". From Rfam's summary of the family: This family represents the bacterial glycine riboswitch. Glycine riboswitches usually consist of two metabolite-binding aptamers domains with similar structures in tandem. Lineage: Bacteria; Pseudomonadati; Pseudomonadota; Betaproteobacteria; Burkholderiales; Sphaerotilaceae. RNAcentral also lists the same sequence under 1 other name. The record is from RNAcentral.
CGAAUGGCAUCGGGAGAGUCCGCGCGUUCACCCUAUCGCGCGGCGCCGAAGGAGCAACCACCCCGGAAACUCUCAGGCACCAUGGACCGAUGCCCUGGA